This 492-nucleotide ribosomal RNA is filed under the name uncultured bacterium. Its description in RNAcentral is "partial 16S ribosomal RNA". It matches the Rfam family "Bacterial small subunit ribosomal RNA", at positions 29 to 507 of the family's 1533-position model. The record is from RNAcentral.
AUUGAACGCUGGCGGCAUGCUUUACACAUGCAAGUCGAACGGUAACAGGCCUUCGGGUGCUGACGAGUGGCGAACGGGUGAGUAAUGCAUCGGAACAUACCCAGAGGUGGGGGAUAACGCAGCGAAAGCUGUGCUAAUACCGCAUGUGAUCUGAGGAUGAAAGCGGGGGACCGAGCAGCAAUGUUUGGCCUCGCGCCUUUGGAGCGGCCGAUGUCGGAUUAGCUAGUUGGUGGGGUAAAGGCCUACCAAGGCGACGAUCCGUAGCUGGUCUGAGAGGACGACCAGCCACACUGGGACUGAGACACGGCCCAGACUCCUACGGGAGGCAGCAGUGGGGAAUUUUGGACAAUGGGCGAAAGCCUGAUCCAGCAAUGCCGCGUGCGGGAAGAAGGCCUUCGGGUUGUAAACCGCUUUUGGCAGGAACGAAACGGUGUCCGCUAAUACCGGGCGCUAAUGACGGUACCUGCAGAAUAAGCACCGGCUAACUACGUG